This 426-nucleotide ribosomal RNA is filed under the name uncultured soil bacterium. RNAcentral describes it as "bacterial SSU rRNA". It matches the Rfam family "Bacterial small subunit ribosomal RNA", at positions 966 to 1393 of the family's 1533-position model. The record is from RNAcentral.
GAACCUUACCUGGGCUCGAAAUGUAGUGGACCGGGGUAGAAAUAUCCCUUCCUAGCAAUAGGCUGCUAUAUAGGUGCUGCAUGGCUGUCGUCAGCUCGUGUCGUGAGAUGUUGGGUUAAGUCCCGCAACGAGCGCAACCCUUAUCCCCAGUUGCCAUCAUUAAGUUGGGCACUCUGGUGAAACCGCCUCGGAUAACGGGGAGGAAGGUGGGGAUGACGUCAAGUCCUCAUGGCCUUUAUGUCCAGGGCUACACACGUGCUACAAUGGCCGGUACAAACCGUCGCAAACCCGUGAGGGGGAGCUAAUCGGAAAAAGCCGGCCUCAGUUCGGAUUGUAGUCUGCAACUCGACUACAUGAAGCUGGAAUCGCUAGUAAUCGCGGAUCAGAAUGCCGCGGUGAAUACGUUCCCGGGCCUUGUCACACCGA